RNAcentral lists this ribosomal RNA (448 nucleotides) under uncultured bacterium. RNAcentral's name for it is "partial 16S ribosomal RNA". It matches the Rfam family "Bacterial small subunit ribosomal RNA", at positions 29 to 523 of the family's 1533-position model. The record is from RNAcentral.
AACGAACGCUGGCGGCAGGCCUAACACAUGCAAGUCGAGCGCCCUAGCAAUAGAGAGCGGCGCACGGGUGAGUAACGCGUAGGAAUCUACCGUGUAGUACGGAACAACAGUUGGAAACGACUGCUAAUACCGUAUACGACCUUCGGGGGAAAGAAUUUCGCUAUAAGAUGGGCCUGCGUUAGAUUAGCUAGUUGGUGAGGUAAUGGCUCACCAAGGCGCCGAUCUAUAGCUGGUCUGAGAGGAUGACCAGCCACACUGGGACUGAGACACGGCCCAGACUCCUACGGGAGGCAGCAGGGGGGAAUAUUGGGCAAUGGGCGCAAGCCUGACCCAGCCAUGCCGCGUGAGGGAUGACGGACUUAGGUUUGUAAAGCUCUUUUAGUGGGGAGGAUGAUGACGGUAACCGCAGAAAAAGCCCCGGCUAACUUCGUGCCAGCAGCCGCCGUAA